Molecule: ribosomal RNA, 22 nt
Filed under: uncultured Bacteroidales bacterium
Lineage: Bacteria; Pseudomonadati; Bacteroidota; Bacteroidia; Bacteroidales
Description: partial 23S ribosomal RNA
Source: RNAcentral
GCGUACGGUGGAUGCCUUGGCA